This 432-nucleotide ribosomal RNA is filed under the name uncultured bacterium. RNAcentral describes it as "partial 16S ribosomal RNA". It matches the Rfam family "Bacterial small subunit ribosomal RNA", at positions 29 to 506 of the family's 1533-position model. The record is from RNAcentral.
AACGAACGCUGGCGGCAUGCCUAACACAUGCAAGUCGAACGAGACCUUCGGGUCUAGUGGCGCAUGGGUGCGUAACGCGGGGGAACCUGCCCUUAGGUUCGGAAUAACUCCCCGAAGGGGGUGCUAAUAACGGAUAAUUUCUUCGGACCAAGGAUUUAUCGCCUUUGGGUGGGCCCGCGUUGGAUUAGCUAGUUGGUAGGGUAAAAGGCUACAAAGGCGACGAUCCAUAGCUGGUCUGAGAGGAUGGUCCGCCACACUGGGACAGAGACACGGCCCAGACUCCGACGGGAGGCAGCAGGGGGGAAUAAGGGACGAUGGGCGAAAGCAUGAGCCAGCAAGGCCGCGUGAGUGAUGAAGGCCGUAGGGUUGUAAAGCUCUUUUACCCGGGAUGAUAAGGACGGUACCGGGAGAAUAAGCUCCGGCUAACUCCGU